UUUGCCUACGGGGCGCAGCAGUGAGGAAUAUUGGUCAAUGGCCGGAAGGCUGAACCAGCCAAGCCGCGUGAAGGACGAAGGUGCCAAGCAUUGUAAACUUCUUUUGUCAAGGGACAAAAUCAGGCUCGAGAGCCUGACCGAGGGUACUUGAAGAAAAAGCAUCGGCUAACUCCGUGCCAGCAGCCGCGGUAAUACGGAGGAUGCGAGCGUUAUCCGGAUUUAUUGGGUUUAAAGGGUGCGUAGGCGGGCUUUUAAGUCAGCGGUAAAAAUUCGGGGCUCAACCCCGUCCGGCCGUUGAAACUGGG
This 305-nucleotide ribosomal RNA is filed under the name uncultured bacterium. RNAcentral describes it as "bacterial SSU rRNA". It matches the Rfam family "Bacterial small subunit ribosomal RNA", at positions 334 to 637 of the family's 1533-position model. The record is from RNAcentral.